RNAcentral lists this long non-coding RNA (1174 nucleotides) under Salmo salar (Atlantic salmon). RNAcentral describes it as "lncRNA (ENSSSAG00000094485.1)". Lineage: Eukaryota; Metazoa; Chordata; Actinopteri; Salmoniformes; Salmonidae. The record is from RNAcentral.
CUCUAUUGAAAACUGAGGAUCUCUGCUGUAACGUGACACUUUGUAAGGCUCCCAUAGGCUCUCAGAAGGCGCCAGAACGUUGAAUGAUGACUCUGCUGUCCCAGGCUGAAAAACGGUAUUGCAUUUGGUAAGUGGUCGAUCUGAGAACAAUGAGACGGGGGCGCGCAUGCAAAAGACGACUCCAUUUUCAACUUUGAGUCUUUGAACGAAAACAUGGUUUCCCGGUCGGAAUAGUAUCGCUAUUUUACGAGAAAAAUCGCAUAAAAAUUGAUUUUAAAGAGCGUUUGACAUGCUUCGAAGUACGUUAAUGGAAUAUUUUGAAAUUUUUUGUGACGAUACGCGUCCGCGCGUCACCAUUCGGAUAGUGUCUUGAACGCAAGAACAAAACAGAGGAUAUUUGAACAUAACUAUGGAUUAUUUUGAACCAAAACAACAUUUGUGGAUGAAGUAGAAGUCCUGGGAGUGCAUUCUGACGAAGAACAGCAAAGGACCUGAGCCCUAGGACCAUGCCUCAGGACUACCUGGUAUGAUGACUCCUUGCUGUCCCCAGUCCACCUGGCCGUGCUGCUGCUCCAGUUUCAACUGUUCUGCCUGCGGCUAUGGAACCCUGACCUGUUCACCGGACGUGCUUGUUGCACCCUCGACAACUACUAUGAUUAUUAUUAUUUGACCAUGCUGGUCAUUUAUGAACAUUUUAACAUUUUAACAUUUUGACCAUGUUCUGUUAUAAUAUCCACCCUGCACAGCCAGAAGAGGACUGGCCACCCCUCAUAGCCUGGUUCCUCUCUAGGUUUUUCCUAGGUUUUUGGCCUUUCUAGGGAGUUUUUCCUAGGGAGUUUUUCCUAGCCACCGUGCUUCUUUCACAUGCUUUGCUUGCUGUUUGGGGUUUUAGGCUGGGUUUCUGUACAGCACUUUGAGAAUAUCAGCUGAUGUACGAAGGUCUAUAUAAAAAUAAAUUUGAUUUGAUUUGAUUUGAACAAUGAGACAGGUAUUUCACCAGAUGUAUAAUCAAUACAGUUUUCUGUUCCCAAAACUAGAAUCUGUAAUGAACAGAUUAAAGUCUACAUAACGUAGUUCAAUCUUUGCCAAAGUUGUAAAAAAAAAAUGUAUUAAUGGUGUUGUUUAGGAGCGCAAAGGCAAAUUGAGUUUUUGCACAAACGCACUUCAGAGUAGG